GAGGGUAUAGCUCAGUGGUAGAGUGCAUGCUUAGCAUGCACAAGGCCCUGGGUUCAAUCCCCAGUACCUCCA
Molecule: transfer RNA, 72 nt
Filed under: Camelus bactrianus (Bactrian camel)
Lineage: Eukaryota; Metazoa; Chordata; Mammalia; Artiodactyla; Camelidae
Also listed under: 2 other names
Rfam family: tRNA
About the family: Transfer RNA (tRNA) molecules are approximately 80 nucleotides in length.
Source: Rfam by way of RNAcentral